Cygnus olor (mute swan) is the source of this 250-nucleotide long non-coding RNA. RefSeq lists it as uncharacterized. NCBI's taxonomy places the organism in Eukaryota, Metazoa, Chordata, Aves, Anseriformes, Anatidae. The record is from RefSeq and is a predicted model, not a curated record. The transcript is spliced from 3 exons.
AGAAGAUAUGGACAGAAACAAUAUUGAGCUGAGAUGGAGAGGAGAAAGAAAGCUGUACUCGACAUCAGGAGAUUUUAUUGAAUUUGAUUGUAAAAUAGGAUAUGUGCAGGACCCAGCAUCUUCCCCAUUCAGAGUGCAGUGUAUGGACGGGACGUUAGAAUACCCACGGUGCAAGCCAGGAAGGAACUGUAGAUUGAGUGAGACAGAAAUGAAGAGGAACAAUAUUAAACUAAGACAGUCAAGGAGAAGA